RNAcentral lists this long non-coding RNA (815 nucleotides) under Pan troglodytes (chimpanzee). RNAcentral's name for it is "lncRNA (ENSPTRG00000053761.1)". Lineage: Eukaryota; Metazoa; Chordata; Mammalia; Primates; Hominidae. The record is from RNAcentral.
CUUUUCAAGCUUUGAAGUUCAUCAAAGUUAUCUGAAGAGCCAGUUUAAAAUUUAGUUGCCUUAACUUCACCCUUAUAAAUUCUGCUUUAAUAUGUCUAGAGUGAGUCCUAGGUCUCCUAGGUAAUUCUAAUGUACCCUGAAGUCUUAAACUUCAGUUCCUAAGAGUUUGUUAGGAAAUUCUUUUUCAGGGACCUGGAGUAGCAGUUCCCAAUACUGACUGAUUUGAUAUGGCUGGAUCCCUUAAUAUGAUUGAAAACAAUAUUGCUCAUUGAUUAAAAAUAAACUAAUUUUUUCAAUUUGUUAUAGGGUUGGCAUGGGGAGAGGAAGUUCAGAUGGGGAGACCUGGAGAUUUUCUGAGAAGGGUGAAGAAGAGUGCUCACCAGAUUCCCUUCUGGUCUGGAAAAAGAAAUCCCUUCUUUUGUGGAUGUCAUGUCUACCAUCUCUCGGUGAAAAAUAUUUCAAGAGAAUCCUAAGAUGGAGAGAGCAUUGGAAGUCAUCCGGCCCAAUUCCCUCAUGCAAUUCAAAGCUUCUUUGUAAGGUAGGGCACCAUUUACUUUUAUAAGGCCAACUUUGCGGAGUUUACUACUUUAUAAAGCAAGCUAUCGAAUAUUUACAGCUACAAUUGUGAAGAAAUACUUGAUAAAACUCUUUGAAUGACCAGUUUUGCCUAGUAAAACCUUAAAAUUACUUUUUAGUUAUCUCAUUUAUUAAAUUGUUCCUUUGUUCGUUCACUCAAAAAUAUUAAUUAAGCCAGGCUUGGUCUUAUUUAGCUUUGAAAUUACAGUGCUGGAUGGUUGUGAAUGCAUACUUUAUUC